CUGAUUUUAUUAUCAGUUCUAUUAUUGAACGAUUUUAUUGUUGAAUUGUUAUUAUCAAAGCUCAUUAUCGAAGAGAAAGAUUGUAUACCUGUUGCCUACCUUGCCGCUUGGUAAUGGACAUUUUCUCUAAGAUCAAAACCCGGGAGUAUGAUAAGAACAAGGAUGCUGCUGCUGCUGCUGCUGCUGCUGUUGAUGAUGAUAUCCUAAUGCUGCUGCUGAUGUUGGCAGUGAUGGCGAAGAUCACCACGCCAGCACUGGGAGAGAGGCUGCAUCGAUCCAUUAAAUAAAUAUGACAUGCUGCCCUCUGCAGGUAUUCAGUCUAAACCAGGUAGUAUCAAAUUCAUACAAACGGAUAAAGCAUUCUCAAACACACAAACUAAUGCACAAAUGCAAAUGGAAUACUGAAGCCAGUUAAAGAAAGAAAACUUUUCUAUUCCAUAGGUCUCUCUUUUUUUUUUUUUUUUUUUUUUUUUUGGUCUUUUUAGGGCUGCUCCCAUGGCAUAUGGAGGUUCCCAGUCUAGGGGGGACAUCGGAGCUAUAGCUGCUGGCCUAGCCAUAGCAACGCAGGAUCUGAGCUGCGCCCGUGACCUACACCACAGCUCGGGGCAACACUGGAUAUCCUUAACCCAUUGAGCAAGGCCAGGGAUCGAACCCUCGUCCUCAUGGAUGCUAGUGGGGUUCAUUAACCGCUAGGCCAUCAUGGGAACUUCUUAACUCAUUUAUUUUAAAUUUCUCUUCUGAAUUUUGGAGGAUGUGUAUUUGAGGCCAAUGUCAGAAGCAGAGAAGACCAGCUGGGAGUUUGGUUUGUGACUAGUUCUCUGUUGACACUUGAAAAAGCUAACUGCUCUUUGGCUUGACUAAGACCUCUUGUUUCCUGAUAAUAGGUAUUUAAUGAAUAGUAAAUAAAAGCAGGUUUGAAAAUCUCAAAUCCGUUUUCAUUUCAGAAAGUUUAGAUUUUACACCACAUCCAACCAGCAUUUCUAGUUACUAAACUAACAGGCUUUGGUCCACAUGGCUCCUUCUUUUUUCUUUUCCUUCUGCCUUACCCCAGUCAGUACUCUUGCUAUUUUGGUGUCUAAGUUGAACACUUUUCUCAAUUUCUUCUUUGCUCUUCCUUGUUGGGGAUAUGAACCAAAAGAGAACUGUUAGGCAAAGAGUUUUUAGAACUGAUUUCUUGUACCCACUUUCCACCCUUAAGUUUAGUUUGUUAGUUUGGCCAGAUCACCAAACUAUUCUUAAUUUUAUUCCUUCUCUAUAAAAGGAAGGGCUGACUCAGUGGGACUGAGCACCCACUAGUCCUGACUUCCUGGGAUUUGCCAUAUGGGCCAGUGAUUGCGUAGAGCAGUCCUAAGCUCUCUCUAGUUUUCUGCUGGGUGACUGUGGGCCAGUUACACAGCGUGUCUGAGUCUCCGUUUCCCAUCUCAGAAUAAGUACAAUAGCAUCUACCUCAUAGGAGUUUUCGGAGGAUUUUAAAAUACACUACAGGAUAAAGCACUUUAUAAGUGCCGUCUUGUUUCAUUCCCAUGACUACCUUGUAAAGAGGAGACUACUCUUACCCCCAUCUCACAGAAUGAGGAAAUGAACUUGGGGCGGGGGGGUUAAAUCAAUGAAUCCAAGUUACAGGGCUGGUGGGUGUGGACCUAGAUUCAAGCCCAGGCCCAGGCCAUGCUUUUGAUCCCUGUGUCAUUCUGUCAGAUAUCCGGUGUCCAGCUUCCCUUCACAUUUUAAUAGGAUGAGUUUCACUUCACUCUUUUUUUUUUUUUUUGCCAUUUCUAGGGCCUCUCCCGCGGCACAUGGAGGUUCCCAGGCUAGGGGUCAAAUCGGAGCUGUAGCCACAGGCCUACGCCAGAGCCACAGCAACACAGGAUCUGAGCCGCGUCUGCAACCUACACCACAGCUCACGGCAAUGCCAGAUCCUUAACCCACUGAGCAAGGCCAGGGAUCGAACCCGCAACCUCGUGGUUCCUAGUCGUUAACCACUGAGCCAUGACGGGAACUCCUCACUUCACUCUUUAAGGCAGCCACCUCCCCCGUCAUUCCUAUGUCUUGCAGACUCUGGUAUUACCUCCAACUACUAGAGGCACAGAUGGCAAGAAAGUCAGUGUGUCUGCCACCUAUACACUCACAGUGCUUGGGAGACAUGGAGGAAACUACAGAAAAAAUUCACUCAACCCUGUGACUCUCAGAGUUGACUUAUAUAGUCAAAAAGAAGGGGAUCCUUGUUAGUGGCUGGAGUUAAAAUCCCAAAGCACAGUCAGCCAAAACCUCCUCCAGAUGCGAGUGUGUGGUCACUGGUCAUGCAUUUCUGUUUGCUGAAUUCCAUACAGCCAAGGCAACUGCCUGGCCUCGCUGAAGAUCCACAGGGGAAAAAAGUUAUGUGCGCUAGUACGAAAAAACAUGCAAGCAGAGUUCUCCCUCGCUGUCAGGAAUGUUUGAUACGGCCAUGUUUAUUCCGUGGCCGCCAUCCAUGGUAAACGUGCCAUCAGUUCUCAUGCAGGGAAAGCUGGCCCAGAGCUUCCUUACUGGCUGCCCAUUUUCUUAAAGUGACGUAGCGUCAUAGAGGAUACUCUAUUGCAAUCAAAAUGAUUUUUUGGAAUUAUAAAAGCAUGUGCAUUUUAGUGAAAUAACUACUGUUAAGAGUCUUUGGGGCUGUUGGCCUUAAGUCCCAUAUGCUCCUUUUCUUCACCUGUUUCUCACUUCCUCUGGGAAAAGUUUGCGAUGCUGAUAGGCUAACGGAUCAUGUCUUCCUUCAUCUUGGUACACGCGUGUGAUUAGGUCAUUCUUUGCAGGUGUGUGAUUUUACCAAUUCAUUAUUUCCUGGCUAUUCUUAUAAUACCAAUUCAUUAUUGGUAUUACCAUUCUGAUAAUACCAAUUCAUUAUUUCCUGGCUAUUCUUAUCAUAAGAUUACUAGAAUAAGUACCUUCAUUGUGUGUAAAAAAAAGACACAGUUCUGCCUUGAAAUAUCAUUUUUUGUCCAAGGCUCCGCUGGCUCUCCCAUUUCUGAGUUGGAUGGUUUUUAACGUGAAGUAUGUAGAAAGAUUAAAGUAUGGAAGAAUUCAAAUCUAAAAAUUUCCUGGUGGUCUCUUUGCUAAAAACCCUAGCAAAUAAUGACUUUUCCAAGCUUUACGUGUGUGUUAACCCAUCAGUUCCCGUAACCAUCCUAUGGUCAUUAUACCCAUUUUACAAGCAGGAAUAUCAAGACAUGAGAGGUAAAGUAACUUGCCCUUGGUGACACAGCUACUAAAUGCUGAUUCUGGGAUUCAAACCCGAGGGAAUUGGGCCCCGUACCUGCUCUCUUCACUCCUCCCCUUCAACACUGCUUCAACCGUGGGGUGAUAGAAUCCAUUUUAUUGCUUUUAAAGGACAUUUACCUAUUUAUUUAUUUAUUUGUGGUUUUUUUGCUUUUUAGGGCCACACCCACAGCAUUUGGAAGUUCCCGGGCUCAGGGUCCAAUCGGAGCUGCAGCUGCUGGCCUGUGCCACAGCCACAGCAGUGUGGGAUCCAAGCCAUGUCUGUGAUCUACAGCACAGCUCCGGGCAAUGCUAGAUCCUUAACCCACUGUUGGAGGCCUGGGAUCGAACCCACGUCCUCAUGGAUGCUAGUCAGGUUCGUUACUGCUGAGCCACAACGGGGAACUCCUGUGUACUCUUUUAAAUGAGCACAAAGUACAAGUAGACUGUUAUCUUCAGCCAGAGAGAGAAGGAAGAGCUUAUUUAGGUAGGCGUCUAAACACUAAGCAAGAAUUUGUUUCUCAUGCUCUAAUUGAAAGGCCUGGUGAGGGAGGCCCACACGACUUACUCCCCCUGGUGUUCAGAGAGGGAGCCUAUGGGGGACCGUAAUCAGACGAGGGAGAGCAGUCCCGGGAAGGCUUCAUUUCUUUUCUGUUCCUGAACUUGAGAAACGAAAAGCAGCCAGCAUGUGCUGCAGGAGUUUCUUUCCUCAUCUGUUUUUGCUCUCAAGGUUUGCAAGACGGUAGGAGCCAUUCAGCAUCCAGUUGCAACUCUUUAACAGCCAAAGUUAUUGAAAUUUCUAAUUUCCUAAAAUUUCUUCAGUCCCCCACCCCUUUCCCUUCUGCCACAUCCCUGGCCUUCUGCCAGGGAGUCUGGUUUUCCAUAAUUAGCGUGGUGGUUCGGAUAAUCUUCUUUCCCUGUUUUCUGCCCUGGCUGCUGGGCUUUUUUGUUCCCUGAACCUCCAUCACAGUUUUCCUUAUUACUGUCUGCUUGGAGUUUGAUAGCCAGCAUUCCAUGGAUUCCAAGAUCACCUUAAAUUUUCAAGUCAGCUUGAGCUUCAGUUGUUGGUAUUAGAUAAAACGGCAUUGGAACCCUCGUUUAAAGAGUAAUUCAGUCUUGGCUACCUGUGGCUCUCACUUAGGAAGCUUUAAAAAAUACCAUUGUUUGGGCCCCACCUCCAGAAAGUUUGAAUCAUUGAAUCAUUUCUUCUGGGGUGAAGCCCAGGCAUCAGCUUUUUCAUUUUUUUUUUUUUUUAACAUGAGGUCAUGGUUAAGAAACACUAAAUUACUCUUUGGGCUUAAAUUUGAAUACCAAGACCCUGAAAGCCCUUGGCUCAGAAAUAUAUUAAAUUCAUUUAAAUGGACAGUUGUAGUUCCUGUCUGUUUUAAGCUAUCUGUUAAAAUGUGAAAAGGGAUAGAGAUUUUUGCUGUACAGCAUGGUCACCCCCAGUCUGAAGGGAAAGGAUGAAGUUCAUGGCACUUUUGAAGUGACCCCCACCCCCAGGCACCUCUGGCCUCAUCCUUUGCAAGAGGCCAACAGGUUUCGGGGCUGAGAUGUUUCAGCUUAUCUCCAGCCCAGAGACAAACCAGGACAAUCACCUGAGGUCAUUUUCCUGUCAGUGCCUGGUACAUACUGGGUGUUCAAGAAAUCAAAAUUUGUGUGUGGCUUAGUACACAAUGCAGGGGCUGUUGUUACUGUGUGAGUUUGGAGAUGAAUCUGGUUACUCGUCUGUAAAAUAGAUGUAACGAUGCUGACCUUCCAGGAUUGUUUACAAAUUAAAGGGCAUAAUUUAUGCAAAAGUUCCCAAUCUACCUGUUACUGGAGCAUCCCAGUUCAGAGGGGGGAGUUUUUCUGUACCAACUCUCAUCACGGCGAUUUUGGCCGACAUCAUCAAUUUACCUUUCAGAGAUGUCAGUGAGUCCUCUCCCAUCUCCUAUCUUUAAGACACUAAAGACAGACAGCCACCAGGGGCUUUUGUGGUCUGUGUUUGCAGCACACAUGAGAAGACCAGGCAGGUUUCCUGGGCUUACCUCUGUUUAUUUACUGAAACUUGUUCCUGCCAGUGCUGCCACAGCGACCCCCCCCCCAUGCAUGCUUAUUGUCCAUCUCCUGUCUGGUCACCUCUCCUAGUUCUAUGUCCCCCCAGGAGGGUUAGCAUCUGUCAAUUUCCUUUGCUCCCAAGCCCUUCCCCAAGAUGUUUCAGCACCCAGGGGGAACUGAACAGUCUCCUCGAGGACUUGGCUAAGAAAUCUGCUUUUCAAGGGGCGAAAGAAGGAGGAGAGGACUGCAGAGAAAACCAGCAGCUUCUAUGCGGGCAGCCAGAGGGGCAGAACUGGAGAGAGGACAGUGCGAGCUCGGAGAAGGUCACAGCCUGCAAAGGGACAGACGUGGUGGUCAAGGCAUAGACUCAUGAAGUCACUUGUUGCACCUGAGACAUUUGAGAUGCUGUGCUGCAUGUUACUGCUUUGACAUGUCCUAUUUCUCUGACUUUUCUAGACAAAUCCUUUGUAGACAUCUCCUCUGCUCUUCAUUCUUUCCGCAAACUAUGAUGAAGCACCUAUCCCUGGCCAGACACUCUACUAGUGGUGAAGAAGCAGCAAGGACAGCCCUGGCUCAGGGAGUACAGUCUGGUGGGAGGAAGAAGAUAGUUAAACAGGCCUUGAAUAUUGAUCGAUUUAACCAGGGUAAAAAAGUCAUAUUAAAAUCAAAUAAAAGAUGAAAAGGCCAAACUUCAAAUGCCUUUUCUCUCAUGUCCCCUUUUUCCUUCUCACCUAGUGGGCAGGAGUUAAGAGCCUAGAUUUCUAAAUGAGGCUCUCUAUUUAAAUGGUGGGUUCACCACUACCUGUGUGACCUUGGGCUUUACUUCUCUGAAAAUGGAUAUAAUAAAAAUAGAGACUGGGAAUUCCCAUCACGGCGCAGCAGAAACGAAUCCGACUAGGAGCCAUGAAGUUGCGGGUUUGAUCCCUGGCCUCGCUCCGUGGGUCAAGGAUCCGGCGUUGCCGUAGGUCGGUGGCUACAGCUCCAAUUCGACCCCUAGCCUGGGAACCUCCACAUGCUGCGGGUGUG
Molecule: long non-coding RNA, 6297 nt
Filed under: Sus scrofa (pig)
Lineage: Eukaryota; Metazoa; Chordata; Mammalia; Artiodactyla; Suidae
Description: lncRNA (ENSSSCG00035057249.1)
Source: RNAcentral